This 901-nucleotide ribosomal RNA is filed under the name metagenome. RNAcentral describes it as "bacterial SSU rRNA". It matches the Rfam family "Bacterial small subunit ribosomal RNA", at positions 8 to 924 of the family's 1533-position model. The record is from RNAcentral.
AGAGUUUGAUCCUGGCUCAGGACGAACAUUGGCGGCGCGCCUAAUGCAUGCAAGUCGAGCGAACUCGUUUUCUUCGGAAAGCACAUAGUUAGCGGCGAACGGCUGAGUAACGCGUAAGUAACCUGCCUCGAAGAGGGGAAAAACUAUGAGAAAUCAUAGCUAAUUCCGCGUAAUGUCANUUAAUUAAUUUAANUGAAGAAAGAUUUAUCGCUUUGAGAUGGGCUUGCGUCCUAUCAGGUAGUUGGUAAGGUAAUGGCUUACCAAGCCUAAGACGGGUAGCUGGAGUGAGAGCUUGACCAGCCAGAGGGGGACUGAGACACGGCCCCCACUCCUACGGGAGGCAGCAGCAGGGAAUCUUGCACAAUGGGCGAAAGCCUGAUGCAGCGACGCCGCGUGAGGGAUGAAGGUUCUAGGAUCGUAAACCUCUUUUCUUAGGGAAUAGUUUGGAAGGUACCUAAGGAAUAAGUCACGGCUAACUACGUGCCAGCAGCCGCGGUAAUACGUAGGUGGCAAAUGUUGUCCGGAAUCAUUGGGCGUAAAGGGUCCGUAGGUGGCAUGAAUAGUCUUAUGUGAAAUCUCUUGGCUCAACCAAGAAACGCCAUAAGAAACUUUCAUGCUAGAGAUCAUCAGAGGGAGGUAGAAUUCCAGGUGUAGUGGUGAAAUGCGUAGAUAUCUGGAGGAAUACCAAUGGCGAAAGCAGCCUCCUGGGGUGAAUCUGACAUUGAGGGACGAAAGCGUGGGUAGCAAACCGGAUUAGAUACCCGGGUAGUCCAUGCCGUAAACGAUGAAUACUGGGUCUUCGGGGAAUCGACCCCCUGUGGACCGAAGCUAACGCGUUAAGUAUUCCGCCUGGGGAGUACGGUCGCAAGACUAAAACUCAAAGGAAUUGACGGGGGCCCGC